This 265-nucleotide ribosomal RNA is filed under the name uncultured bacterium. RNAcentral describes it as "partial 16S ribosomal RNA". It matches the Rfam family "Bacterial small subunit ribosomal RNA", at positions 793 to 1055 of the family's 1533-position model. The record is from RNAcentral.
GUCCACGCCCUAAACGAUGUCAACUAGGUGUCGGGAGCGCAAGUUCUUGGUACCGCAGCUAACGCGUGAAGUUGACCGCCUGGGGAGUACGGUCGCAAGAUUAAAACUCAAAGGAAUUGAUGGGGACCCCGCACAAGCGGUGGAUGAUGUGGAUUAAUUCGAUGCAACGCGAACAACCUUACCUACCCUUGACAUGUCCGGAACCCUGCUGAAAGGCGGGGGUGCCCGAAAGGGAAUCGGAACACAGGUGCUGCAUGGCUGUCGU